RNAcentral lists this long non-coding RNA (340 nucleotides) under Brassica rapa (field mustard). RNAcentral's name for it is "long non-coding RNA (BRAP_LNC005618)". Lineage: Eukaryota; Viridiplantae; Streptophyta; Magnoliopsida; Brassicales; Brassicaceae. The record is from RNAcentral.
GGACCAAAAUAUUUCAUGUCUUAAUAAACUAAAAUCAUAAUUAUAUAUUUAAAUAUAUUAAUUAGUUUUAUAUAUAAUAUCCUAACAAUAUUCAAAAUAAGAAAAAUACUCUGAAACUAUAGCUAAAAGUAAAUAUUCGAAGAUAUCCCAAAAUACUUAAAACAUGAGAAAAACUCUAAGGCUUCAAUUGGUGACCACUAGAAGAAUGGAACAAAAAAAAAAAAAAUUUCAUUUGAGAAAUUGAAAAAAAAACAAUGAAUUUUUGUUCAUUUUGUUCUUCAUCAAAAUUGCAGAGAUGAAUUUUUCUUUAUAAAUUCAUUCUUCCGUGAGGAAUUCAGAG